This 199-nucleotide long non-coding RNA is filed under the name Arabidopsis lyrata. Its description in RNAcentral is "long non-coding RNA (ALYR_LNC001950)". Lineage: Eukaryota; Viridiplantae; Streptophyta; Magnoliopsida; Brassicales; Brassicaceae. The record is from RNAcentral.
AAAAAGAUCUCCGCCGAAAACCUAGCUAACGAGAUGGUCAGUUUAAUAAAUCGAUAGUGAGGUCCCAACCAGCUAAGAGACAUAACUGUUUCCAAUCUCCGUAUCAGAUCUCGGGUCUCUGUUUCAGUUCUCCAAUUGAGAUAAGUGCUAUUUAUUUAUUAUGCUUUAUAUACAUGAUCCAAUUAAAGUUUGAUAAGAU